UACGUAGGGUGCAAGCGUUGUCCGGAAUUAUUGGGCGUAAAGAGCUCGUAGGCGGUUUGUCGCGUCUGCUGUGAAAACUGGAGGCUCAACCUCCAGCCUGCAGUGGGUACGGGCAGACUAGAGUGCGGUAGGGGAGAUUGGAAUUCCUGGUGUAGCGGUGGAAUGCGCAGAUAUCAGGAAGAACACCAGCGGCGAAGGCGGCACUCUGGGCUGGAAUUGACGCUGAGGAGCGAAAGUGUGGGUAGCAAACAGG
RNAcentral lists this ribosomal RNA (253 nucleotides) under uncultured bacterium. Its description in RNAcentral is "partial 16S ribosomal RNA". It matches the Rfam family "Bacterial small subunit ribosomal RNA", at positions 524 to 776 of the family's 1533-position model. The record is from RNAcentral.